This 70-nucleotide transfer RNA is filed under the name Mycobacterium sp. 852014-50255_SCH5639931. RNAcentral's name for it is "tRNA-Met". The record is from RNAcentral. Lineage: Bacteria; Bacillati; Actinomycetota; Actinomycetes; Mycobacteriales; Mycobacteriaceae.
GCCUGGUCGUUCGCGCGCAGAAUAGGGACUCAUAAUCCGUUGGUCGCGGGUUCGAGCCCCGCCCGCCCCA